This 279-nucleotide ribosomal RNA is filed under the name uncultured bacterium. Its description in RNAcentral is "partial 16S ribosomal RNA". It matches the Rfam family "Bacterial small subunit ribosomal RNA", at positions 506 to 784 of the family's 1533-position model. The record is from RNAcentral.
UGCCAGCCGCCGCGGUAAUACGGAGGGGGUUAGCGUUGUUCGGAAUUACUGGGCGUAAAGCGCACGUAGGCGGAUUAGUAAGUUAGGGGUGAAAUCCCGGGGCUCAACCCCGGAACUGCCUCUAAUACUGCUAGUCUUGAGUUCGAGAGAGGUGAGUGGAAUUCCGAGUGUAGAGGUGAAAUUCGUAGAUAUUCGGAGGAACACCAGUGGCGAAGGCGGCUUUCUAAUUUACACCUGACGCUGAGGCGCGAAAGCGAGGGGAGCAAACAGGAUUAGAUA